This 492-nucleotide ribosomal RNA is filed under the name uncultured bacterium. RNAcentral describes it as "partial 16S ribosomal RNA". It matches the Rfam family "Bacterial small subunit ribosomal RNA", at positions 29 to 507 of the family's 1533-position model. The record is from RNAcentral.
AGUGAACGCUGGCGGUAGGCCUAACACAUGCAAGCCGAACGGCAGCACAGUAAGAGCUUGCUCUUACGGGUGGCGAGUGGCGGACGGGUGAGGAAUACAUCGGAAUCUACUUUUUCGUGGGGGAUAACGUAGGGAAACUUACGCUAAUACCGCAUACGACCUACGGGUGAAAGCAGGGGAUCUUCGGACCUUGCGCGAUUGAAUGAGCCGAUGUCGGAUUAGCUAGUUGGCGGGGUAAAGGCCCACCAAGGCGACGAUCCGUAGCUGGUCUGAGAGGAUGAUCAGCCACACUGGAACUGAGACACGGUCCAGACUCCGACGGGAGGCAGCAGUGGGGAAUAUUGGACAAUGGGCGCAAGCCUGAUCCAGCCAUACCGCGUGGGUGAAGAAGGCCUUCGGGUUGUAAAGCCCUUUUGUUGGGAAAGAAAAGCAGCAGGUUAAUACCCCGCUGUUCUGACGGUACCCAAAGAAUAAGCACCGGCUAACUUCGUG